ACCUGCCCACUGAUUAAUUUAAGGGCCGCGGUAUUCCUAACCGUGCUAAGGUAGCAUAAUCAUUAGUCUCUUAAUUGGAGGCUUGUAUGAAAGGUUGGACGAGAAAUAUACUGUUUCAAAUAAAAAAUUUGAAUUUAACUUUUAAGUGAAAAGGCUUAAAUAAAUUAAAAAGACGAUAAGACCCUAUAAAUCUUAACGGUAAAGUUAAUGUUUUUUGAUUUAUUAGUAUAAAAAAAUACUUAAACUAUACGUUUGGUUGGGGCGACAUAAAUAUAAAAUAAUUAACUGUUUGAAUAUUUAAACAAUUAUUGUUGAAGUGAAAUGAUCCUGCUAUAGAGAUUAAAAGACCAAGUUACUUUAGGGAUAACAGCGUUAUUCUUUUUGAGAGUUCUUAUUAAAAAAAGAGUUUGCGACCUCGAUGUUGAAUUAAAAAUUCUUUAUGGUGCAGCAGCUAUGAAAGAAAGUCUGUUCGACUUUUAAAUUUUUACAUGAUUUGAGUUCAGACCGGUGUGAGCCAGGUCGGUUUCUAUCUUUUAAUAAAAUAAAAAUUGUUUUAGUACGAAAGGAUUAAACAAUUAAAAUAAUUUUAUUUAUUAGAAUAAUAUUAUAGCCUUAACAAUAUAA
RNAcentral lists this ribosomal RNA (624 nucleotides) under Isocheles pilosus. Its description in RNAcentral is "partial 16S ribosomal RNA". It matches the Rfam family "Archaeal large subunit ribosomal RNA", at positions 1949 to 2858 of the family's 2987-position model. Lineage: Eukaryota; Metazoa; Arthropoda; Malacostraca; Decapoda; Diogenidae. The record is from RNAcentral.